RNAcentral lists this transfer RNA (72 nucleotides) under Ochromonas danica. RNAcentral describes it as "tRNA-Glu". It matches the Rfam family "tRNA". From Rfam's summary of the family: Transfer RNA (tRNA) molecules are approximately 80 nucleotides in length. Their secondary structure includes four short double-helical elements and three loops (D, anti-codon, and T loops). The record is from RNAcentral. Lineage: Eukaryota; Chrysophyceae; Chromulinales; Chromulinaceae.
AUCUUCUUCGUCUAGUGGUAAGGACACUUCUCUUUCACAGAAGAAACAUGAGUUCAAUUCUCAUAGAAGAUA